RNAcentral lists this ribosomal RNA (914 nucleotides) under uncultured archaeon. Its description in RNAcentral is "bacterial SSU rRNA". It matches the Rfam family "Archaeal small subunit ribosomal RNA", at positions 1 to 922 of the family's 1478-position model. The record is from RNAcentral.
UUCCGGUUGAUCCUGCCGGAGGUCACUGCUAUUGGGAUUCGACUAAGCCAUGCGAGUCGAGAGGGUUCGGCCCUCGGCAGACUGCUCAGUAACACGUGGAUAAUCUGCCCUUAGGUGGAGGAUAACCUUGGGAAACUGAGAAUAAUACUCCAUAGAUCUAAGAUGCUGGAAUGCACUUAGAUUAAAAGCUCCGGCGCCUGAGGAUGAGUCUGCGGACUAUCAGGUUGUAGUCAGGGUAAGGACCUGACUAGCCUACAACGGAUACGGGUUGUGAGAGCAAUAACCCGGAGACGAUAUCUGAGACACGAUAUCGGGCCCUACGGGGCGCAGCAGGCGCGAAACCUUCACAAUGUGCGAAAGCGCGAUGAGGGGAUCCCAAGUGCUUGCACUUAAGUGUAAGCUGUUUCUUUGUUUAAAACGCAGAGAGAGGAAGGGCUGGGUAAGACGGGUGCCAGCCGCCGCGGUAAUACCUGCAGCUCAAGUGGUGACCGCUAUUAUUGGGCCUAAAACGUUCGUAGCCGGCUGAGUAAAUGCUUGGGUAAAUCGUGCCGCUUAACGGUACGAAUUCCGGGUAGACUGCUCAGCUUGAGACCGGGAGAAGCUAGAGGUACUCCUGGGGUAGAGGUGAAAUUCUGUAAUCCUGGGGGGACCACCAGUGGCGAAGGCGUCUAGCUAGAACGGGUCUGACGGUGAGGGACGAAACCCUGGGGCGCAAACCGGAUUAGAUACCCGGGUAGUCCAGGGCGCAAACGCUGCUUGCUUGAUGUUAGCUGGGCUCCGGGCUCAGCUAGUGUCGGAGAGAAGUUGUUAAGCAAGCUGCCUGGGAAGUACGAUCGCAAGAUUGAAACUUAAAGGAAUUGGCGGGGGAGCACAGCAACGGGUGGAGCGUGCGGUUUAGUUCAGUCAACGCCGGA